This 231-nucleotide ribosomal RNA is filed under the name uncultured bacterium. RNAcentral describes it as "partial 16S ribosomal RNA". It matches the Rfam family "Bacterial small subunit ribosomal RNA", at positions 15 to 237 of the family's 1533-position model. The record is from RNAcentral.
GAUCCUGGCUCAGGAUGAACGCUAGCUACAGGCUUAACACAUGCAAGUCGAGGGGCAGCGGGAUUGAAGCUUGCUUCAAUUGCCGGCGACCGGCGCACGGGUGAGUAACGCGUAUCCAACCUUCCGUACACUCAGGGAUAGCCUUUCGAAAGAAAGAUUAAUACCUGAUGGUAUGAUGAGAUUGCAUGAUAGCAUCAUUAAAGGUUUACCGGUGUAAGAUGGGGAUGCGUU